This 253-nucleotide ribosomal RNA is filed under the name uncultured bacterium. RNAcentral's name for it is "partial 16S ribosomal RNA". It matches the Rfam family "Bacterial small subunit ribosomal RNA", at positions 524 to 776 of the family's 1533-position model. The record is from RNAcentral.
UACGUAGGGGGCUAGCGUUGUCCGGAUUUAUUGGGCGUAAAGAGCGUGUAGGCGGCCAGAUAGGUCUGCUGUGAAAACUCGAGGCUCAACUUCGAGCUGUCGGUGGAAACUAUCUGGCUAGAGUCCGGAAGAGGAGAAUGGAAUUCCUGGUGUAGCGGUGAAAUGCGCAGAUAUCAGGAAGAACACCCGUGGCGAAGGCGGUUCUCUGGGACGGUACUGACGCUGAGACGCGAAAGCGUGGGGAGCGAACAGG